AAUCUGUGUCUUUUCAAGCCGUA
RNAcentral lists this non-coding RNA (23 nucleotides) under Cricetulus griseus (Chinese hamster). Lineage: Eukaryota; Metazoa; Chordata; Mammalia; Rodentia; Cricetidae. The record is from RNAcentral.